AUCACUUCUCGGCCUUUUGGCUAAGAUCAACUGUAGUAUCUGUUCUUAUCAGUUUAAUAUCUGAUACAUCCUCUAUCUGAGGAUAUUUGGAGCAGGGAGUUGGAAUAGGAGCUUGCUCCGUCUACUCCACGCAUCAACCUGGUAUUGCAGUACUUCCAGGAACAGUGCACCCCGC
Small nuclear RNA from Marmota marmota marmota (Alpine marmot), 175 nucleotides. Its record names the gene U2. It matches the Rfam family "U2 spliceosomal RNA". Rfam says of the family: U2 is a small nuclear RNA (snRNA) component of the spliceosome (involved in pre-mRNA splicing). Complementary binding between U2 snRNA (in an area lying towards the 5' end but 3' to hairpin I) and the branchpoint sequence (BPS) of the intron results the bulging out of an unpaired adenosine, on the BPS, which initiates a nucleophilic attack at the intronic 5' splice site, thus starting the first of two transesterification reactions that mediate splicing. NCBI's taxonomy places the organism in Eukaryota, Metazoa, Chordata, Mammalia, Rodentia, Sciuridae. The record is from Ensembl.